Molecule: small RNA, 100 nt
Filed under: Arabidopsis thaliana (thale cress)
Lineage: Eukaryota; Viridiplantae; Streptophyta; Magnoliopsida; Brassicales; Brassicaceae
Description: ATSL090940
Source: RNAcentral
AAGAAAGAUCAAAUGAGUACUCAUCCUUCCAUAUGUCAAGAGAGGAUGCAGAGUAUGAUUCAGGCACUGAAAAUUCAACCACUGAAGAUGAGGAUUUCUU